GACGAGCGCUGGCGGCGUGCCUAAUACAUGCAAGUUGAGCGCUGAAGGUUGGUACUUGUACCGACUGGAUGAGCAGCGAACGGGUGAGUAACGCGUGGGGAAUCUGCCUUUGAGCGGGGGACAACAUUUGGAAACGAAUGCUAAUACCGCAUAAAAACUUUAAACACAAGUUUUAAGUUUGAAAGAUGCAAUUGCAUCACUCAAAGAUGAUCCCGCGUUGUAUUAGCUAGUUGGUGAGGUAAAGGCUUACCAAGGCGAUGAUACAUAGCCGACCUGAGAGGGUGAUCGGCCAAAUUGGGACUGAGAAACGGCCCAAAAUCCUACGGGAGGCAGCAGUAGGGGAUCUUCGGCAAUGGACGAAAGUCUGGCCGAGCAAAGCCGCGUGAGUGAAGAAGGUUUUCGGAUCGUAAAACUCUGUUGGUAGAGAAGAACGUUGGUGAGAGUGGAAAGCUCAUCAAGUGACGGUAACUAACCAGAAAGGGACGGCUAACUACGUG
This 497-nucleotide ribosomal RNA is filed under the name uncultured bacterium. Its description in RNAcentral is "partial 16S ribosomal RNA". It matches the Rfam family "Bacterial small subunit ribosomal RNA", at positions 28 to 507 of the family's 1533-position model. The record is from RNAcentral.